This 243-nucleotide ribosomal RNA is filed under the name uncultured bacterium. RNAcentral describes it as "partial 16S ribosomal RNA". It matches the Rfam family "Bacterial small subunit ribosomal RNA", at positions 529 to 771 of the family's 1533-position model. The record is from RNAcentral.
AGGGUGCAAGCGUUAAUCGGAAUUACUGGGCGUAAAGCGUGCGUCGGCGGUUUGGCAAGAAAGGUGUGAAAUCCCAGGGCUUAACCUUGGAACUGCACUUUUAACUGCCAGGCUAGAGUAUGUCAGAGGGGGGUAGAAUUCCGCGUGUAGCAGUGAAAUGCGUAGAGAUGCGGAGGAAUACCGAUGGCGAAGGCAGCCCCCUGGGAUAAUACUGACGCUCAGGCACGAAAGCGUGGGGAGCAA